CCUACGGGAGGCAGCAGUGGGGAAUAUUGGACAAUGGGCGCAAGCCUGAUCCAGCAAUGCCGCGUGUGUGAAGAAGGCCUGUGGGUUGUAAAGCACUUUCGGUUGGGAAGAAGCUUUGUUGGUUAACACCCAAUUAAGUUGACACUACCUUCAGAAGAAGCACCGGCUAACUCCGUGCCAGCAGCCGCGGUAAUACGGAGGGUGCGAGCGUUAAUCGGAAUUACUGGGCGUAAAGCGCGCGUAGGCGGUUGUGUAAGUCGGAUGUGAAAGCCCUGGGCUUAACCUAGGAACUGCAUUCGAUACUGCAUAGCUAGAGUAUGGUAGAGGAAAGCGGAAUUCCCGGUGUAGCGGUGAAAUGCGUAGAUAUCGGGAGGAACAUCAGUGGCGAAGGCGGCUUUCUGGACCAAUACUGACGCUGAGGUGCGAAAGCGUGGGUAGCAAACAGGAUUAGAUACCCUGGUAGUCCACGCCCUAAACGAUGUCAACUAGCCGUUAGGUUCAUUUAAGAGCUAGUGUGCNGCUACGACGAUAAGUUAGUACCGCCGUCGGGAGGUACGGCCGGCCGAACGGUUAAAACGUUAACGUAAAGAAGUAGUAGACGCGNGAGAGACGACGACGACGACGACGGAGGGAGGAGG
This 638-nucleotide ribosomal RNA is filed under the name uncultured bacterium. Its description in RNAcentral is "bacterial SSU rRNA". The stretch from base 1 to 544 matches the Rfam family "Bacterial small subunit ribosomal RNA", at positions 338 to 873 of the family's 1533-position model. The record is from RNAcentral.